AGCGAUCGUUGGCGGUAGGCCUAACACAUGCAAGUCGAACGAGAAGUCAGCUUCGGUUGGUGGAAAGUGGCGGACGGGUGAGUAUAACAUGGGAACCUGCCCUAAAGUGGGGGAUAACGGUUGGAAACAGCCGCUAAUACCGCAUAUGGCGAAAGCUGAAAGCUCCGGCGCUUUAGGAUGGGCCCAUGCCCCAUUAGCUAGUUGGUAAGGUAAAAGCUUACCAAGGCAACGAUGGGUAGCUGGUUUGAGAGGAUGAUCAGCCACACUGGGACUGAGACACGGCCCAGACUCCUACGGGAGGCAGCAGUGAGGAAUAUUGCGCAAUGGGGGAAACCCUGACGCAGCCAUACCGCGUGUGUGAAGAAGGCCCUAGGGUUGUAAAGCACUUUCAGUAGGGAAGAUAAUGACGGUACCUACAGAAGAAGUCCCGGCUAACUCCG
Molecule: ribosomal RNA, 440 nt
Filed under: uncultured Pseudomonadota bacterium
Lineage: Bacteria; Pseudomonadati; Pseudomonadota
Description: bacterial SSU rRNA
Rfam family: Bacterial small subunit ribosomal RNA
Source: RNAcentral